Molecule: ribosomal RNA, 728 nt
Filed under: uncultured bacterium
Lineage: Bacteria
Description: bacterial SSU rRNA
Rfam family: Bacterial small subunit ribosomal RNA
Source: RNAcentral
AGGACCAUAGCCAUCCGAAAGGAUGGGUAAUAGUCCAUAGUCUCGUAAGAGUAAAGCACUAAACGGUGCGCCGAGGGAGGAGCUUACGUCCUAUCAGCUAGUUGGUGAGGUAAAGGCUUACCAAGGCUAUGACGGGUAGCUGGACUGAGAGGUCGAUCAGCCACAACUGCACUGAGACACGGGCAGUACACCUACGGGUGGCAGCAACCAGGAAUAUUUGGCAAUGGACGAAAGUCUGACCAAGCGACGCCGCGUGGAGGAUGAAGGCCCUCGGGUUGUAAACUCCUUUUGAUAGGCUCUUCACGGCCUAUAGAAUAAGCCCCUACUAACUACGUGCCAGAAGUCUCGGUAAUACGUAGGGGGCAAGCGUUAUCCGGAUUCAUUGGGCGUAAAGUGUGCGUAGGCGGACUUCAAAGUCCUCAUUUAAAGGCUAUGGCUUACCCAUAGUUUGGGUGAGGAUACUGGAAGUCUUGAGGAUUGAUAGGGGUGCUAGAACAGUUGGUGUAACAGUGAAAUGCGUUGAUAUCAACUGGAAUACCGAUGGCGAAGGCAGGCACCUGGGUUCUUCCUGACGCUGAGGCACGAAAGCUAGGGUAGCGAAACAGAUUAGAGACCUGUGUAGUCCUAGCCGUAAACGAUGUCCGCUAGCUCUCUCUUACGAGGGGGUGUAAGCUAACGCGUUAAGCGGACCGCCUGGGGAGUACGACCGCAAGGUUAAAACUCAAAGG